Molecule: ribosomal RNA, 506 nt
Filed under: uncultured bacterium
Lineage: Bacteria
Description: partial 16S ribosomal RNA
Rfam family: Bacterial small subunit ribosomal RNA
Source: RNAcentral
AGUGAACGCUGGCGGUAGGCCUAACACAUGCAAGUCGAACGGUAGCACAGGAGAGCUUGCUCUCUGGGUGGCGAGUGGCGGACGGGUGAGGAAUACAUCGGAAUCUACUUUUUCGUGGGGGAUAACGUAGGGAAACUUACGCUAAUACCGCAUACGACCUACGGGUGAAAGCAGGGGAUCUUCGGACCUUGCGCGAUUGAAUGAGCCGAUGUCGGAUUAGCUAGUUGGCGGGGUAAAGGCCCACCAAGGCGACGAUCCGUAGCUGGUCUGAGAGGAUGAUCAGCCACACUGGAACUGAGACACGGUCCGGACUCCUACGGGAGGCAGCAGUGGGGAAUAUUGGACAAUGGGCGCAAGCCUGAUCCAGCCAUACCGCGUGGGUGAAGAAGGCCUUCGGGUUGUAAAGCCCUUUUGUUGGGAAAGAAAUCCAGCUGGCUAAUACCCGGUUGGGAUGACGGUACCCAAAGAAUAAGCACCGGCUAACUUCGUGCCAGCCGCCGCCGUAA